GCCCGUUUAGCACAGUGGUAGUGCGUUCCACUCGUAAUGGAAAGGUCGCUUGUUCAAUCCAGGCAGGGGGCA
Molecule: transfer RNA, 72 nt
Filed under: Sphaerobolus stellatus SS14
Lineage: Eukaryota; Fungi; Basidiomycota; Agaricomycetes; Geastrales; Sphaerobolaceae
Description: tRNA-Thr (CGT) (tRNA-Thr-CGT-3-1)
Rfam family: tRNA
About the family: Transfer RNA (tRNA) molecules are approximately 80 nucleotides in length.
Source: RNAcentral